Molecule: ribosomal RNA, 212 nt
Filed under: Faecalibacterium prausnitzii
Lineage: Bacteria; Bacillati; Bacillota; Clostridia; Eubacteriales; Oscillospiraceae
Description: partial 16S ribosomal RNA
Rfam family: Bacterial small subunit ribosomal RNA
Source: RNAcentral
UUUAUAAAGAGUUUGAUCCUGGCUCAGGACGAACGCUGGCGGCGCGCCUAACACAUGCAAGUCGAACGAGAGAGGAAGAGCUUGCUCUUCUGAUCGAGUGGCGAACGGGUGAGUAACGCGUGAGGAACCUGCCUCAAAGAGGGGGACAACAGUUGGAAACGACUGCUAAUACCGCAUAAGCCCACGGCUCGGCAUCGAGCAGAGGGAAAAGG